CCUACGGGGAGCUGCAGUGAGGAAUAUUGGUCAAUGGACGAGAGUCUGAACCAGCCAAGUAGCGUGAAGGAUGACUGCCCUAUGGGUUGUAAACUUCUUUUAUAAAGGAAUAAAACGAGGCACGUGUGCCUUUUUGCAUGUACUUUAUGAAUAAGGAUCGGCUAACUCCUGGCAAGCAGCCGCGGUAAUACGGAGGAUCCGAGCGUUAUCCGGAUUUAUUGGGUUUAAAGGGAGCGUAGAUGGGUUGUUAAGUCAGUUGUGAAAGUUUGCGGCUCAACCGUAAAUUUGCAAUUGAUACUGGCAGUCUUGAGUACAGUUGAGGUAGGAGGAAUUCGGGGUGUAGCGGUGAAAUGCUUAGAUAUCACGAAGAACCCCGAUUGCGAAGGCAGCUUACUAAACUGUGACUGACAUUGAUGCUCGAAAGUGUGGGUAUCAAACAGGAUUAGAUACCCCUGUAUC
RNAcentral lists this ribosomal RNA (459 nucleotides) under uncultured bacterium. RNAcentral describes it as "partial 16S ribosomal RNA". It matches the Rfam family "Bacterial small subunit ribosomal RNA", at positions 338 to 795 of the family's 1533-position model. The record is from RNAcentral.